CGCGUGGUUACCUGCCCAUUAGUGGGGAAUAAGCUGGAGAAAUUCAGUCUAAUACCGCAUAAUCUCUUCGGAGGAAAGUGGGGGAUCUUCGGACCUCACGCUGAUGGAUGGGACCGCGUUGGAUUAGCUAGUUGGUGAGGUAAUGGCUCACCAAGGCGAUGAUCCAUAGCUGGUUUGAGAGGAUGAUCAGCCACACUGGGACUGAGACACGGCCCAGACUCCUACGGGAGGCAGCAGUGGGGAAUUUUGCACAAUGGGGGAAACCCUGAUGCAGCGACGCCGCGUGCGGGAAGAAGGCCUUAGGGUUGUAAACCGCUUUCAGCCAGGGAAGAAGAGAGUGAGUGUUAAUAGCAAUUCUGAUUUGACGGU
RNAcentral lists this ribosomal RNA (369 nucleotides) under uncultured Mariprofundus sp. RNAcentral's name for it is "bacterial SSU rRNA". It matches the Rfam family "Bacterial small subunit ribosomal RNA", at positions 114 to 476 of the family's 1533-position model. The record is from RNAcentral. Lineage: Bacteria; Pseudomonadati; Pseudomonadota; Candidatius Mariprofundia; Mariprofundales; Mariprofundaceae.